AGUAAUGGCGAAUGAACGGGGAAAAGCUCANCAAAGAAAUCAGGGACCCGGCCUUGAGUUGUGGACUUGAGAGGUAUUGCCAAUGGUGGCGCAGGUGCGGGCCUCUUGGAAAAGGGCACCACAGAGGGCGUGAGUCCUGUUUGUCAUCUGUAGUCCGCCAUGUACGGCAUGACUCCUCAGAGUCACGUUCCUUGGAAUUGGAGCGCGAAGGUGGUGGUGGCUUUCAUCUCAAGCUAAGUAUGGGUUCGAGACCGAUAGCAAACAAGUACCAUGAGGGAAGAUUGAAAAGAGCUUUGGAAAGAGAGUUAAAAGUGCCCGAACUUGCUGAUAGGGAAGCGAAGGGAGCUGACGUUGCUUGGUGACAUAUUCCGCGCAAGAGUAGGAUGGGUUCUGAUUGCAAUCUGCGUAGUGCUUCUUGCCGUGCGUGUCGAUGCCAAGCAAUGAGUGGGGAGAGCACCAGGGAUAAUGAUUGUUUCUGUCCCCGGGUGGCCGAAGGUGCCUGGUCGCAUCCAUUUGUGGGCUGAAACAAAUGGUGGCUGGUUGCAGCGCCCUGUGCCUGCUAGGCAGUUGGGGUGUAGCCCUGAUGCGCAGACGAGGACAAGGUGCUUCUGUUCGACCCGUCUUGAAAC
This 629-nucleotide ribosomal RNA is filed under the name Prorocentrum hoffmannianum. RNAcentral's name for it is "LSU rRNA". It matches the Rfam family "Eukaryotic large subunit ribosomal RNA", at positions 82 to 660 of the family's 3401-position model. The record is from RNAcentral. Lineage: Eukaryota; Dinophyceae; Prorocentrales; Prorocentraceae.